RNAcentral lists this ribosomal RNA (374 nucleotides) under uncultured bacterium. Its description in RNAcentral is "bacterial SSU rRNA". It matches the Rfam family "Bacterial small subunit ribosomal RNA", at positions 524 to 898 of the family's 1533-position model. The record is from RNAcentral.
UACGUAGGGUGCAAGCGUUAAUCGGAAUUACUGGGCGUAAAGCGUGCGCAGGCGGUGAUGUAAGACAGGCGUGAAAUCCCCGGGCUCAACCUGGGAAUUGCGCUUGUGACUGCAUCGCUGGAGUGCGGCAGAGGGGGAUGGAAUUCCGCGUGUAGCAGUGAAAUGCGUAGAUAUGCGGAGGAACACCGAUGGCGAAGGCAAUCCCCUGGGCCUGCACUGACGCUCAUGCACGAAAGCGUGGGGAGCAAACAGGAUUAGAUACCCUGGUAGUCCACGCCCUAAACGAUGUCAACUGGUUGUUGGGUAUUUACUUACUCAGUAACGAAGCUAACGCGUGAAGUUGACCGCCUGGGGAGUACGGCCGCAAGGUUGAA